Long non-coding RNA from Mastomys coucha (southern multimammate mouse), 820 nucleotides. RefSeq lists it as uncharacterized. NCBI's taxonomy places the organism in Eukaryota, Metazoa, Chordata, Mammalia, Rodentia, Muridae. The transcript is spliced from 3 exons. The record is from RefSeq and is a predicted model, not a curated record.
GGUGGCUCAUAGACUGUGGGGUUUCCUGCUUCAAGGAAGACCAAAAUUUGUUACAAUGACUUGCCUGACUCUGCCCUCCUCAGUUUUCAACCUUUACCUUCCACAUUUUUAGGUAGUUAUCACCAAUUCUAGUGAUGAAGUUAUAAUAUGUGACAAGGGCGCAUAGACCAUGAUGGGAGUAUUGGACACAACUUUGAACCCAAAUCUCUGUGCUGUACACAGCUUAAAGUUCUGUCUUUUCUUUCAGGUCCCUCCCCUUGGAUCUAAAGCAACAAGCAUUUGGGAUACAAGUUAUCUUUCUACAGGAACAACUUACUGGAAUUAAUUCACAAGCAUUCUCUGCAAAGAGCCUGUUGGCCAUUGUAAGGCAGUACUUUUUAUUUUUCUUGUUUAGGUUAUGGAGAAGCAACUGGAAGCCCCGAUGGAUAUUUUCAUCUGUGUUUAAUUUAAGAGCCUAUGGAGGAAAAGAUGAAACAUUUUUUCAGGCCAGGGAUGAAACUUUUAGUUUCAAAAGGAAUUUUCAAGAUCCCUCAGUCUGCCAUGUAAAUAAGGUUCUGAUUCAAGAGAGAUUGCUAUUGAAACAAUUAAAAGUAGGAACUGACCUUCCUUCCCAGUGAAUACUUACAAAUCUGUUGUUUUAAAAACAACAUAAAUUGCAGCAACCAAUUUUCAGAUCAUUUCAACACCCUUCUUGCCCUUUGCUGUACUUGUGACUGACCAGUAUUCUUAAUCAGAGUAGGCAAGAGCUUUGCCACUUAGCUAUAAUCGCAACCCCCUUACACCAUCUUUUAAAACAAAAUAAAACAACAAAAGACCAAAA